UGGGGAAUAUUGCACAAUGGGCGCAAGCCUGAUGCAGCCAUGCCGCGUGUGUGAAGAAGGCCUUCGGGUUGUAAAGCACUUUCAGCGAGGAGGAAGGUGGUGAACUUAAUACGUUCAUCAAUUGACGUUACUCGCAGAAGAAGCACCGGCUAACUCCGUGCCAGCAGCCGCGGUAAUACGGAGGGUGCAAGCGUUAAUCGGAAUUACUGGGCGUAAAGCGCACGCAGGCGGUUUGUUAAGUCAGAUGUGAAAUCCCCGGGCUCAACCUGGGAACUGCAUUUGAAACUGGCAAGCUAGAGUCUCGUAGAGGGGGGUAGAAUUCCAGGUGUAGCGGUGAAAUGCGUAGAGAUCUGGAGGAAUACCGGUGGCGAAGGCGGCCCCCUGGACGAAGACUGACGCUCAGGUGCGAAAAGCGUGGGGAGCAAAACAGGAUUAGAUACCCUGGUAGUCCACGCUGUAAACGAUGUCGAUUUUGGAGGUUGUGCCCUUGAGGCGUGGCUUCCGGAGCUAACGCGUUAAAUCGACCGCCUGGGGAGUACGGCCGCAAGGUUAAAAC
RNAcentral lists this ribosomal RNA (556 nucleotides) under uncultured bacterium. RNAcentral describes it as "partial 16S ribosomal RNA". It matches the Rfam family "Bacterial small subunit ribosomal RNA", at positions 355 to 900 of the family's 1533-position model. The record is from RNAcentral.